CCUACUAUUUUACUUUUUAACUUUUUUAUCUUAAAUAUUAUGCCUCAGUCAAAUAAGUUACCAUAAAAAUGGAACAUAUAUAUAAAAAGAGUGUCACAUAUUAUGAAAUAACAGGAAUAGUUAAAAAGAGAAGGGACCCAGAAUUGGAGAAGCUCCCAAGAGAGUGUCAAUCCCCCUGUACUUGCAAGAUUUACAGUAAACAACUCCUCUUACACCAACAAACUUCCUGGUUGGAAGAGGAGAUGGUGGUUUAACUGGUGGAUGAGCAGGCGGAGUUGGUGGUUUACUAGGCGAAUGAGCAGGUGGAGUUGGUGGUUUAACAGGCGGAGACGGUGGUUUGACUGGUGGUGAAGAGUGAGAGGGAGAAGAAGCUGGGGCUUGGCCGUGCUUGUGGUGGUGGUGGUGGUGGUGUUGGCCGCCAUUAUGAGGCUUAGGGGUUUCAACGGGUGGGAAGCUAACAAGGGAAU
This 467-nucleotide long non-coding RNA is filed under the name Nicotiana tabacum (common tobacco). RNAcentral describes it as "long non-coding RNA (NTAB_LNC008521)". Lineage: Eukaryota; Viridiplantae; Streptophyta; Magnoliopsida; Solanales; Solanaceae. The record is from RNAcentral.